RNAcentral lists this ribosomal RNA (2641 nucleotides) under Enterobacter cloacae. RNAcentral describes it as "bacterial LSU rRNA". It matches the Rfam family "Bacterial large subunit ribosomal RNA". Lineage: Bacteria; Pseudomonadati; Pseudomonadota; Gammaproteobacteria; Enterobacterales; Enterobacteriaceae. The record is from RNAcentral.
ACUAUCGUUAACUGAAUACAUAGGUUAACGAGGCGAACCGUGGGAACUGAAACAUCUAAGUACCCCGAGGAAAAGAAAUCAACCGAGAUUCCCCCAGUAGCGGCGAGCGAACGGGGAGCAGCCCGGAGUCUGAAUCAGCUUGUGUGUUAGUGGAACGGUCUGGAAAGUCCGACGGUACAGGGUGAUAGUCCCGUACACGAAAAUGCACAUGCUGUGAACUCGAAGAGUAGGGCGGGACACGUGGUAUCCUGUCUGAAUAUGGGGGGACCAUCCUCCAAGGCUAAAUACUCCUGACUGACCGAUAGUGAACCAGUACCGUGAGGGAAAGGCGAAAAGAACCCCGGCGAGGGGAGUGAAAAAGAACCUGAAACCGUGUACGUACAAGCAGUGGGAGCNNNNNNNNGUGACUGCGUACCUUUUGUAUAAUGGGUCAGCGACUUAUAUUCUGUAGCAAGGUUAACCGUAUAGGGGAGCCGAAGGGAAACCGAGUCUUAACUGGGCGUUAAGUUGCAGGGUAUAGACCCGAAACCCGGUGAUCUAGCCAUGGGCAGGUUGAAGGUUGGGUAACACUAACUGGAGGACCGAACCGACUAAUGUUGAAAAAUUAGCGGAUGACCUGUGGCUGGGGGUGAAAGGCCAAUCAAACCGGGAGAUAGCUGGUUCUCCCCGAAAGCUAUUUAGGUAGCGCCUCGUGAACUCAUCUUCGGGGGUAGAGCACUGUUUCGGCUAGGGGGCCAUCCCGGCUUACCAACCCGAUGCAAACUACGAAUACCGAAGAAUGUUAUCACGGGAGACACACGGCGGGUGCUAACGUCCGUCGUGAAGAGGGAAACAACCCAGACCGCCAGCUAAGGUCCCAAAGUCAUGGUUAAGUGGGAAACGAUGUGGGAAGGCACAGACAGCCAGGAUGUUGGCUUAGAAGCAGCCAUCAUUUAAAGAAAGCGUAAUAGCUCACUGGUCGAGUCGGCCUGCGCGGAAGAUGUAACGGGGCUAAACCAUGCACCGAAGCUGCGGCAGCGACGCUUAUGCGUUGUUGGGUAGGGGAGCGUUCUGUAAGCCGUUGAAGGUGUGCUGUGAGGCAUGCUGGAGGUAUCAGAAGUGCGAAUGCUGACAUAAGUAACGAUAAAGCGGGUGAAAAGCCCGCUCGCCGGAAGACCAAGGGUUCCUGUCCAACGUUAAUCGGGGCAGGGUGAGUCGACCCCUAAGGCGAGGCCGAAAGGCGUAGUCGAUGGGAAACAGGUUAAUAUUCCUGUACUUGGUGUUACUGCGAAGGGGGGACGGAGAAGGCUAUGUCAGCCGGGCGACGGUUGUCCCGGUUUAAGCAUGUAGGCGGAGGUUCCAGGUAAAUCCGGUACCUUGUUAACGCUGAGGUGUGAUGACGAGGCACUACGGUGCUGAAGUGAUAAAUGCCCUGCUUCCAGGAAAAGCCUCUAAGCAUCAGGUAACACGAAAUCGUACCCCAAACCGACACAGGUGGUCAGGUAGAGAAUACCAAGGCGCUUGAGAGAACUCGGGUGAAGGAACUAGGCAAAAUGGUGCCGUAACUUCGGGAGAAGGCACGCUGAUAUGUAGGUGAAGUCCCUGCGGACGGAGCUGAAAUCAGUCGAAGAUACCAGCUGGCUGCAACUGUUUAUUAAAAACACAGCACUGUGCAAACACGAAAGUGGACGUAUACGGUGUGACGCCUGCCCGGUGCCGGAAGGUUAAUUGAUGGGGUCAGCGGCAACGCGAAGCUCUUGAUCGAAGCCCCGGUAAACGGCGGCCGUAACUAUAACGGUCCUAAGGUAGCGAAAUUCCUUGUCGGGUAAGUUCCGACCUGCACGAAUGGCGUAAUGAUGGCCAGGCUGUCUCCACCCGAGACUCAGUGAAAUUGAACUCGCUGUGAAGAUGCAGUGUACCCGCGGCAAGACGGAAAGACCCCGUGAACCUUUACUAUAGCUUGACACUGAACACUGGUCCUUGAUGUGUAGGAUAGGUGGGAGGCUUUGAAGCGUGGACGCCAGUCUGCGUGGAGCCAUCCUUGAAAUACCACCCUUUAAUGGCUGGUGUUCUAACGUAGACCCGUGAUCCGGGUUGCGGACAGUGUCUGGUGGGUAGUUUGACUGGGGCGGUCUCCUCCCAAAGAGUAACGGAGGAGCACGAAGGUUGGCUAAUCCUGGUCGGACAUCAGGAGGUUAGUGCAAUGGCAUAAGCCAGCUUGACUGCGAGCGUGACGGCGCGAGCAGGUGCGAAAGCAGGUCAUAGUGAUCCGGUGGUUCUGAAUGGAAGGGCCAUCGCUCAACGGAUAAAAGGUACUCCGGGGAUAACAGGCUGAUACCGCCCAAGAGUUCAUAUCGACGGCGGUGUUUGGCACCUCGAUGUCGGCUCAUCACAUCCUGGGGCUGAAGUAGGUCCCAAGGGUAUGGCUGUUCGCCAUUUAAAGUGGUACGCGAGCUGGGUUUAGAACGUCGUGAGACAGUUCGGUCCCUAUCUGCCGUGGGCGCUGGAGAAUUGAGGGGGGCUGCUCCUAGUACGAGAGGACCGGAGUGGACGCAUCACUGGUGUUCGGGUUGUCAUGCCAAUGGCACUGCCCGGUAGCUAAAUGCGGAAGAGAUAAGUGCUGAAAGCAUCUAAGCACGAAACUUGCCCCGAGAUGAGUUCU